GCUGGGUGUGGUGGUGCACACCUGUAGUCUCAGCUACUCAGGAAGCUGAGACAGGAGAAUCGCUUGAACUCAGGAGGCGGAGGUUGCAGUGAGCUGAGAUGGCACCACUGCACACUCCAGCCUGGGUGACAGAGUGAGACCCUGUCUCAA
This is an unclassified non-coding RNA of Macaca fascicularis (crab-eating macaque), 150 nucleotides long. It matches the Rfam family "Metazoan signal recognition particle RNA". Rfam says of the family: The signal recognition particle (SRP) is a universally conserved ribonucleoprotein. It is involved in the co-translational targeting of proteins to membranes. The record is from Ensembl. NCBI's taxonomy places the organism in Eukaryota, Metazoa, Chordata, Mammalia, Primates, Cercopithecidae.